RNAcentral lists this ribosomal RNA (477 nucleotides) under Triticum aestivum (bread wheat). Its description in RNAcentral is "partial small subunit ribosomal RNA". Lineage: Eukaryota; Viridiplantae; Streptophyta; Magnoliopsida; Poales; Poaceae. The record is from RNAcentral.
AUGAGUCGACCUGAUGGUAUCAACAUCCCCGACGGCAAGUUCUACCUUGGAGAUGCUGGUUGUGCAUGUCGGUCGGGUAUUCUUCCACCCUUCAGGAAAACCAGGUACCAUCUCAACGAGUUCUCUGGUAGGAACUAUCCUGGGACUGCACAGGAGCUGUAUAAUCUCAGACACUCCAGCCUUAGAGUAACUGUUGAGAGGGCAUUCGGAGCUGUGAAGAAUAGGUUUAAGAUCCUGGAUCAGAAGCCAUUCCACCCAUACCCCACUCAGGUUAAGCUUGUUCUUGCUUGUUGCAUUCUGCAUAACUGGAUCCUCCAGUGGGGCUUUGAUGAACACGUGCCUGAGGAGGAAGAGGUCGAGCCUGACGAUGUUGUUAGCUCCGGCCAUGGUGUGGAGGCAUUUGACAAUGACGCUUGGAAGAACAAAAGGUUGGAGUGGGCAGAGGCUAUGUGGCUUAACAUUCAGUGCGGGAUUUGA